GCCUUGAAGCAUAAGUUUCAAGAUCUAAUAGACAAUGGUGAGAUCGUGGUCACUAAACCCGAUCAACCUCACGUUCAAGACAACCCUCUUCCUCAACACAAAGAAGAAGAGGUCAACAUGAUCAGUUAGAGCACUGGACAUGGUUCCAAUUCUACUGGUGAAUCAUCCCAACCCAUCAAAGAUGGUGUUGACAAAUGGGAUUAUGCAG
RNAcentral lists this long non-coding RNA (208 nucleotides) under Panax ginseng (ginseng). RNAcentral describes it as "long non-coding RNA (PGIN_LNC007225)". Lineage: Eukaryota; Viridiplantae; Streptophyta; Magnoliopsida; Apiales; Araliaceae. The record is from RNAcentral.